UCAAGCUAUCAAGAGCUAACGGUGGAUACCUUGGCACGCAGAGGCGAAGAAGGACGUGGUGACCGACGAAACGCUCCGGGGAGCUGGCAGCAAGCAUUGAGCCGGAGAUAUCCGAAUGGGGCAACCCUAAAUACAGCUGGUUGAAUCCAUAGACCAGCAUGAGCCAACCGGGUGAACUGAAACAUCUUAGUAGCCCGAGGAAAAGAAAACAACCGUGAUUCCCCUAGUAGCGGCGAGCGAAGCGGGAAGAGCCUAAACCAACUGGUUUCCAGUUGGGGUAGUGGGACAGCAACAACGGGAAUCUGGAAACUAGACGAAGUAGUUGAAAGCUACACCAGAGAAGGUGAAAGUCCUGUAGUCGAAAGUGAAAAGAACCAAGCUGAAUCCCGAGUAGCCAGGGGCACGUGAAAUCCCUGGUGAAUCAGCCGAGACCACUCGGUAAGGCUAAAUACUACUGCGUGACCGAUAGAGAAACAGUACCGCGAGGGAAAGGUGAAAAGAACCCCGGGAGGGGAGUGAAAUAGAACCUGAAACCGUUAGCUUACAAGCAGUGGGAGGACGAUUCAACGUCUGACCGCGUGCCUGUUGAAGAAUGAGCCGGCGAGUUAUCAGCACUGGUAGGUAAAGGUGAAUAGCCACAGCCACAGCGAAAGCGAGUCUGAAUAGGGCGUUGCAUCAGUGUUGAUAGACCCGAACCCGGGUGAUCUAACCAUGUCCAGGAUGAAGCUUGGGUAACACCAAGUGGAGGUCCGCACCGACCGAUGUUGAAAAAUCGGCGGAUGAGGUGUGGUUAGGGGUGAAAUGCCAAUCGAACCCGGAGCUAGCUGGUUCUCCCCGAAAUGUGUUGAGGCGCAGCGGUAAUGAAUAUAGCUGAGGGGUAAAGCACUGAUUCGGUGCGGGCUGCUCGCGCGGUACCAAAUCGAGUCAAACUCUGAAUACUCAGCGCACACAUUACCAGUGAGACAGUGGGGGAUAAGCUUCAUUGUCAAGAGGGAAACAGCCCAGACCACCAGCUAAGGUCCCGAAAUAGUCGCUAAGUGAAAAAGGAGGUGGGAGUGCAUUGACAACCAGGAGGUUUGCCUAGAAGCAGCCACCCUUGAAAGAGUGCGUAAUAGCUCACUGGUCAAGCGCUCCUGCGCCGAAAAUGAAUGGGGCUAAGUGACUUACCGAAGCUGUGGGAUUAAUUAAUUAAUCGGUAGGGGAGCGUUCCGUAGUAGUGAGAAGCACUAGCGGCAAGCAGGUGUGGACGAAACGGAAGUGAGAAUGUCGGCUUGAGUAGCGCAAACAUUGGUGAGAAUCCAAUGCCCCGAAACCCUAAGGGUUCCUCCGGCAGGCUCGUCCACGGAGGGUUAGUCAGGGCCUAAGGCGAGGGCGAAAGCCGUAGUCGAUGGACAACGGGUGAAAAUUCCCGUACUGAUUGUAGUUGGUGCAGAGGGACGGAGAAGGCUAACAGCAGCCGGAAGUUGGUUACCGGUUCAAGCCACCAAGGUGAUGAAAGACGGCGAAAACGUCUGAGCCGAGGGGUGAGUACGAGAGUCUACGGACUCGAAGUGGAUGCAGUCAAGCUCCCAAGAAAAGCUCUAAACACCAUAAACUAGAAUCACCUGUACCCGAAACCGACACAGGUAGGGAGGUUGAGAAAACCAAGGGGCGCGAGAUAACUCUCUCUAAGGAACUCGGCAAAAUGGCCCCGUAACUUCGGGAGAAGGGGUGCCCUGGAUCAAACCAGGGUCGCAGUGAAGAGGCCCAAGCGACUGUUUACCAAAAACACAGGUCUCCGCUAAGUCGCAAGACGAUGUAUGGGGGCUGACGCCUGCCCAGUGCCGGAAGGUUAAGGAAGUUGGUCAGGGGGCAACCCUAAAGCUGACGACUGAAGCCCCGGUGAACGGCGGCCGUAACUAUAACGGUC
Molecule: ribosomal RNA, 1909 nt
Filed under: Phormidium sp. NIES-2115
Lineage: Bacteria; Bacillati; Cyanobacteriota; Cyanophyceae; Oscillatoriales; Oscillatoriaceae
Description: partial 23S ribosomal RNA
Rfam family: Bacterial large subunit ribosomal RNA
Source: RNAcentral